RNAcentral lists this ribosomal RNA (324 nucleotides) under uncultured Bacillota bacterium. Its description in RNAcentral is "bacterial SSU rRNA". It matches the Rfam family "Bacterial small subunit ribosomal RNA", at positions 28 to 351 of the family's 1533-position model. The record is from RNAcentral. Lineage: Bacteria; Bacillati; Bacillota.
GACGAACGCUGGCGGCAUGCCUAACACAUGCAAGUCGAGCGAGCAGAUCCCUUCGGGGUGAAGCUAGCGGCGGACGGGUGAGUAACACGUGGGCAACCUGCCUCAUAGAGGGGAAUAGCCUCCCGAAAGGGAGAUUAAUACCGCAUAAGAUUGUAGUUCCGCAUGGAAUAGCAAUUAAAGGAGAAAUCCGCUAUGAGAUGGGCCCGCGGCGCAUUAGCUAGUUGGUGAGGUAACGGCUCACCAAGGCGACGAUGCGUAGCCGACCUGAGAGGGUGAUCGGCCACAUUGGGACUGAGACACGGCCCAGACUCCUACGGGAGGCAG